AACUUGGUGGUCUAAUGCAAUACCUCUGUUCUGAGUUAACAUCGUUGGAAGUGAGGCUAAAGCAGAAGAUCCCGGUUCGAGUCCGGGUCAAGUUC
Non-coding RNA from Roridomyces roridus, 95 nucleotides. The record is from the annotation of a GenBank genome assembly. NCBI's taxonomy places the organism in Eukaryota, Fungi, Basidiomycota, Agaricomycetes, Agaricales, Mycenaceae.